UCGAGCGAUGAAACUACUUCGGUAGUGAAUUAGCGGCGAACGGGUGAGGAACACGUGAGGAAUCUGCCUUCAACACUGGGAUAACUCCGGGAAACCGGGGCUAAUACCGGAUACGAGCUCUGAUCGCAUGAUCGGGGCUGGAAAGUUUUUCGGUUGAAGAUGACCUCGCGGCCUAUCAGCUUGUUGGUGAGGUAAUGGCUCACCAAGGCGACGACGGGUAGCCGGCCUGAGAGGGCGACCGGCCACACUGGGACUGAGACACGGCCCAGACUCC
This 274-nucleotide ribosomal RNA is filed under the name unidentified marine bacterioplankton. RNAcentral's name for it is "partial 16S ribosomal RNA". It matches the Rfam family "Bacterial small subunit ribosomal RNA", at positions 62 to 339 of the family's 1533-position model. The record is from RNAcentral. RNAcentral also lists the same sequence under 1 other name.